Molecule: long non-coding RNA, 712 nt
Filed under: Mytilus galloprovincialis (Mediterranean mussel)
Lineage: Eukaryota; Metazoa; Mollusca; Bivalvia; Mytilida; Mytilidae
Source: RNAcentral
GUCUUAUCAUUUUCCUAAUAUGUAAGCUUGAAAUUGCAGCGUAAUUUUUUUUGCACUCAGUGACCUUUGACCUUGACUGCAUAUUAAAGGUCACAUGAACUAAAGAUUAUUGGUGAAGGUCCCAAGUCUCUACGACUUCUGGUUCUCGAAAUACAAUUUUUCUAAAAUUAUGUACAAUUUUUCAAGGGGAAUAACUCCUUAUAAGGGUUAAUAACAAAAUGAUUGUACAUGUUCAUUAACAUUGCCAUCUGUUCCUGUACAUGUUGCCGUUUUCAAAUCGAUUCUAUCUCUUAUACUUUUUGUGAAAAAUGCAAAGAAAAGAAAUUGUUUCAAGGGGAUAUAACUCUCAUAGGGGACGAUGAAAUCCUAUUCAGCCUCACAUGGUAAUACAUCAUGAUGAGAUCUACAUUAUGUCCAAAUAAGGUCAUGAUAUCUUUAAAACCAACGAGGGGGGGGGGGGGGGCCAUGUUGAAAAAAAUCAAUAAAAGGGAGAUAACUCCUAAAGGGAAUGAUGCAAUCCUUAACAGGGUCAUUUGGUAAUACAUCGUGGUGAGGUCUAGCGAUGGUCCAUAUUUGGUCAUAAUAACUUCAACAGAAACAAGAGGCGGGCAUGUCAAACAAAUGUUGGAAGAAAAAAAAGAAAAAGAAAAAGAAAAAAAAACAUUAGAAAAACAAUAAGGUCUUUCCUCACGUAGGGGAAAGACCUUAAUAA